GCUUACGGCCAUACCACCCUGAACAUGCCCGAUCUCGGAAGCUAAGCAGGGUCGGGCCUGGUUAGUACUUGGAUGGGAGACCGCCUGGGAAUACCAAGAGCUGUAAGCU
RNAcentral lists this ribosomal RNA (109 nucleotides) under Labrus bergylta (ballan wrasse). Lineage: Eukaryota; Metazoa; Chordata; Actinopteri; Labriformes; Labridae. The record is from RNAcentral.